RNAcentral lists this ribosomal RNA (1382 nucleotides) under uncultured bacterium. Its description in RNAcentral is "bacterial SSU rRNA". It matches the Rfam family "Bacterial small subunit ribosomal RNA". The record is from RNAcentral.
AGAGUUUGAUCCUGGCUCAGGACGAACGCUGGCGGCGCGCCUAACACAUGCAAGUCGAACGGAGCUGAGAGGAGCUUGCUUUUCUCAGCUUAGUGGCGAACGGGUGAGUAACGCGUGAGUAACCUGCCCUGGAGUGGGGGACAACAGUUGGAAACGACUGCUAAUACCGCAUAAGCCCACGGCCCGGCAUCGGGCUGCGGGAAAAGGAUUUAUUCGCUUCAGGAUGGACUCGCGUCCAAUUAGCUAGUUGGUGAGGUAACGGCCCACCAAGGCGACGAUUGGUAGCCGGACUGAGAGGUUGAACGGCCACAUUGGGACUGAGACACGGCCCAGACUCCUACGGGAGGCAGCAGUGGGGAAUAUUGCACAAUGGGGGAAACCCUGAUGCAGCGACGCCGCGUGGAGGAAGAAGGUCUUCGGAUUGUAAACUCCUGUUGUUGAGGAAGAUAAUGACGGUACUCAACAAGGAAGUGACGGCUAACUACGUGCCAGCAGCCGCGGUAAAACGUAGGUCACAAGCGUUGUCCGGAAUUACUGGGUGUAAAGGGAGCGCAGGCGGGAGAACAAGUUGGAAGUGAAAUCCAUGGGCUCAACCCAUGAACUGCUUUCAAAACUGUUUUUCUUGAGUAGUGCAGAGGUAGGCGGAAAUUCCCGGUGUAGCGGUGGAAUGCGUAGAAUAUGGGGGGGAACACCAGUGGGGAAGGCGGCCUACUGGGCACCAACUGACGGUGAGGCUCGAAAGUGGGGGUAGCAAACAGGAUUAGAUACCCUGGUAGUCCACACCGUAAACGAUGAUUACUAGGUGUUGGAGGAUUGACCCCUUCAGUGCCGCAGUUAACACAAUAAGUAAUCCACCUGGGGAGUACGACCGCAAGGUUGAAACUCAAAGGAAUUGACGGGGGCCCGCACAAACAGUGGAGCAUGUGGUUUAAUUCGAAGCAACGCGAAGAACCUUACCUAAGCUUGACAUCCUUUUGACCGAUGCCUAAUCGCAUCUUUCCCUUCGGGGACAGAAGUGACAGGUGGUGCAUGGUUGUCGUCAGCUCGUGUCGUGAGAUGUUGGGUUAAGUCCCGCAACGAGCGCAACCCUUGCCUUUAGUUGCCAUCAUUAAGUUGGGCACUCUAGAGGGACUGCCAGGGAUAACCUGGAGGAAGGUGGGGAUGACGUCAAAUCAUCAUGCCCCUUAUGCUUAGGGCUACACACGUGCUACAAUGGGUGGUACAGAGGGCAGCAAAGUCGUGAGGCCAAGCUAAUCCCUUAAAGCCAUUCUCAGUUCGGACUGCAGGCUGCAACUCGCCUGCACGAAGUCGGAAUUGCUAGUAAUCGUGGAUCAGCAUGCCACGGUGAAUACGUUCCCGGGCCUUGUACACACCGCCCGUCA